This 65-nucleotide transfer RNA is filed under the name Artibeus jamaicensis (Jamaican fruit-eating bat). Its description in RNAcentral is "tRNA-Tyr". It matches the Rfam family "tRNA". From Rfam's summary of the family: Transfer RNA (tRNA) molecules are approximately 80 nucleotides in length. Their secondary structure includes four short double-helical elements and three loops (D, anti-codon, and T loops). The record is from RNAcentral. Lineage: Eukaryota; Metazoa; Chordata; Mammalia; Chiroptera; Phyllostomidae.
GGUAAUAUGGCCGAGUAGGUAUUAGACUGUAAAUCUAAGUACAGAGGUUAAGUCCUCUUAUUACC